GAUGAAGAACGUAGCGAAAUGCGCUAAGUAAUGUGAAUUGCAGAAUUCAGUGAAUCAUCGAAUCUUUGAACGCACAUUGCGCCCGCCAGUAUUCUGGCGGGCAUGCCUGUUCGAGCGUCAUUUCAACCAUCAAGCCCCCGGCUUGUGUUGGGGACCUGCGGCUGCCGCAGGCCCUGAAAAGCAGUGGCGGGCUCGCUGUCACACCGAGCGUAGUAGCAUACAUCUCGCUCUGGGCGUGCUGCGGGUUCCGGCCGUUAAACCACCUUCAUAACCCAAGGUUGACCUCGGAUCAGGUAGGAAGACCCGCUGAACUUAAGCAUAUCAAUAAGCGGAGGA
RNAcentral lists this unclassified non-coding RNA (336 nucleotides) under soil metagenome. RNAcentral's name for it is "partial contains 5.8S ribosomal RNA, internal transcribed spacer 2, and large subunit ribosomal RNA". The stretch from base 1 to 120 matches the Rfam family "5.8S ribosomal RNA", at positions 35 to 154 of the family's 154-position model. The record is from RNAcentral.